Molecule: ribosomal RNA, 382 nt
Filed under: uncultured eukaryote
Lineage: Eukaryota
Description: partial 18S ribosomal RNA
Rfam family: Eukaryotic small subunit ribosomal RNA
Source: RNAcentral
CAAUAGCGUAUAUUAAAGUUGUUGCAGUUAAAAAGCUCGUAGUUGGAUUUCUGGUUGAAGCGACAGGUCGGGCGUUGAUUCGUCUGCACUGGAGUCGGUUUUGGCCAUCCUCUAGGAAAGUGCGUCUGGUAUUAAGUUAUCGGGCGUAUGAUCCUGGUCUUUUACUGUGAAAAAAUUAGAGUGUUUAAAGCAGGCCUUCGCCUUGAAUACAUUAGCAUGGAAUAAUAAGAUAGGACUUUGGUCUAUUUUGUUGGUUUGCAGACCGAAGUAAUGAUUAAUAGGGAUAGUUGGGGGUAUUUAUAUUCCGAUGUCAGAGGUGAAAUUCUUAGAUUUUCGGAAGAUAAACUUAUGCGAAAGCAUUUACCAAGGAUGUUUUCAUUAA